CAUAGAUUAUAUCUAUAAUAAAUAUGAGUUCAAAACUCAUCACCUGAGCACAGGUAGCUGAUCACCACAUCAGAAUAUUAUGGUCUUGCUAGUUACUUGCAGCUGCAUAGGGUGUCUGAUCUCUAUGGAUUGUCCACUCGAAGUCCUGUGUUGAUCGAUCUCCCGAGAGUGCUAGCUCGCAUGAAGAUCUUGUUGAUGGC
RNAcentral lists this long non-coding RNA (200 nucleotides) under Elaeis guineensis (African oil palm). RNAcentral describes it as "long non-coding RNA (EGUI_LNC053872)". Lineage: Eukaryota; Viridiplantae; Streptophyta; Magnoliopsida; Arecales; Arecaceae. The record is from RNAcentral.